RNAcentral lists this ribosomal RNA (253 nucleotides) under uncultured bacterium. Its description in RNAcentral is "partial 16S ribosomal RNA". It matches the Rfam family "Bacterial small subunit ribosomal RNA", at positions 524 to 776 of the family's 1533-position model. The record is from RNAcentral.
UACAGAGACUGCAAGCGUUCUUCGGAUUCACUGGGCGUAAAGGGUGCGCAGGCGGCCAAGUGUGUGAGGCGUGAAAGCCCGGGGCUUAACCCCGGAAUUGCACCUCAAACUACUUGGCUAGAGCAUUGGAGAGGGUAGCAGAAUUCAUGGUGUAGCAGUGAAAUGCGUAGAUAUCAUGAGGAAUACCAGAGGCGAAGGCGGCUACCUGGACAAUUGCUGACGCUCAGGCACGAAAGCGUGGGGAGCAAAAGGG